Molecule: long non-coding RNA, 1654 nt
Filed under: Medicago truncatula (barrel medic)
Lineage: Eukaryota; Viridiplantae; Streptophyta; Magnoliopsida; Fabales; Fabaceae
Description: long non-coding RNA (MTRU_LNC000785)
Source: RNAcentral
GAAUGUGAGAAGCCUAAGCCUUCACCAACUCCUUACUACUACAAAUCACCUCCACCUCCCUCACCAGUUUACAAAUACAACUCACCACCUCCACCGGUCCAUUAUUAUUCACCUCCAUACACCUACAAGUCACCUCCUCCCCCUGUGAAAGCGGCACCAACUCCUUACUACUACAAAUCACCUCCACCACCCGCACCGGUUUACAAGUACAACUCACCCCCUCCACCGGUCCAUUAUUAUUCACCACCAUAUACCUAUAAGUCACCUCCUCCCCCUGUGAAAGCGGCACCAACUCCUUACUACUACAAAUCACCUCCACCUCCCGCACCGGUUUACAAGUACAACUCCCCACCUCCACCGGUCCAUUAUUAUUCACCUCCAUAUACCUACAAGUCACCUCCUCCCCCUGUGAAAGUGGCACCAACUCCUUACUACUACAAAUCACCUCCACCACCCGCACCGGUUUACAAGUACAACUCACCACCUCCACCGGUCCAUUAUUAUUCUCCACCAUACUACUACAAGUCACCACCCCCACCAUCUCCAUCACCUCCUCCACCAUACUAUUUCAAAUACUAUUACAAGUCCCCACCUCCACCAUCACCAUCCCCUCCUCCACCUUAUUAUUACAAAUCUCCUCCUCCACCAAAACAAAUUUCACACCCUCCAUACUACUAUAAGUCACCACCCCCACCAUCACCAUCACCUCCUCCACCAUACUAUUAUAAGUCUCCACCUCCACCAUCACCAUCUCCCCCACCACCUUAUUAUUAUAAGUCACCACCCCCACCAUCCCCGUCCCCUCCUCCACCAUACUACUACAAGUCUCCACCUCCACCUAAAGAAAUAUCACAUCCUCCAUAUAACUAUAAGUCACCACCCCCACCAUCACCAUCCCCUCCCCCUCCAUACUAUUACAAAUCUCCUCCACCACCAUCACCAUCACCACCACCUCCCUACUAUUACAAAUCACCUCCACCACCAUCACCAUCACCUCCCCCUCCAUACUAUUACAAAUCUCCUCCACCACCAUCACCAUCACCACCACCUCCUUACUAUUACAAAUCACCUCCACCACCAUCCCCAUCACCACCACCUCCAUACUACUACAAAAGUCCCCCUCCACCAUCUCCAUCUCCUCCAUCCCCAUAUUACUACAAAUCUCCACCACCACCAUCACCAUCCCCACCCCCUCCCUACUAUUACAAAUCACCUCCACCUCCCUCACCAUCACCGCCACCUCCUUACUAUUACAAAUCACCUCCACCUCCCUCACCAUCACCGCCACCUCCUUACUAUUACAAAUCUCCCCCACCUCCAUCUCCAUCUCCACCACCUCCUUACCACUAUCAAAGUCCUCCUCCACCAUCUCCCAUUUCUCAUCCUCCCUACUACUACAAAUCCCCUCCACCACCAUCGCCGUCUCCUCCACCUCCUUACCACUAUGUGAGUCCUCCCCCACCAGUAAAGUCACCUCCACCACCAACUUAUAUCUAUGCUUCACCACCACCACCUCACUACAACUAAGCUCAAAGAGCAGAAGCUCCGUUCAUUAUAAAUCAUGUAAGUUUAUCAUCUUCAAUUUUCUGAAUGUGUGCGUGUGUAUUUGUUUUUUUGUUACAAGAUACUAACAAAAUUCUUUUCUUAUUUAUGU